GCCGACGUGGCUCGACUAAGAAAGGCACCCGUUUUGUAAACGGGCCCAUGCUGGUGCAAAUCCAGUCGUCGGCUCCU
This 77-nucleotide transfer RNA is filed under the name Planctomycetota bacterium. Its description in RNAcentral is "Planctomycetes bacterium tRNA-Thr". It matches the Rfam family "tRNA". From Rfam's summary of the family: Transfer RNA (tRNA) molecules are approximately 80 nucleotides in length. Their secondary structure includes four short double-helical elements and three loops (D, anti-codon, and T loops). The record is from RNAcentral. Lineage: Bacteria; Pseudomonadati; Planctomycetota.